AGAGUUUGAUCAUGGCUCAGGACGAACGCUGGCGGCGUGCUUAACACAUGCAAGUCGAACGGAAAGGCCCCUUCGGGGGUACUCGAGUGGCGAACGGGUGAGUAACACGUGGGUGAUCUGCCCUGCACUUUGGGAUAAGCCUGGGAAACUGGGUCUAAUACCGAAUAGGACCGCAUGCUUCAUGGUGUGUGGUGGAAAGCUUUUGCGGUGUGGGAUGGGCCCGCGGCCUAUCAGCUUGUUGGUGGGGUAAUGGCCUACCAAGGCGACGACGGGUAGCCGGCCUGAGAGGGUGACCGGCCACACUGGGACUGAGAUACGGCCCAGACUCCUACGGGAGGCAGCAGUGGGGAAUAUUGCACAAUGGGCGCAAGCCUGAUGCAGCGACGCCGCGUGAGGGAUGACGGCCUUCGGGUUGUAAACCUCUUUCACCAGGGACGAAGCGCAAGUGACGGUACCUGGAGAAGAAGCACCGGCCAACUACGUGCCAGCAGCCGCGGUAAUACGUAGGGUGCGAGCGUUGUCCGGAAUUACUGGGCGUAAAGAGCUCGUAGGUGGUUUGUCGCGUUGUUCGUGAAAACUCACAGCUUAACUGUGGGCGUGCGGGCGAUACGGGCAGACUAGAGUACUGCAGGGGAGACUGGAAUUCCUGGUGUAGCGGUGGAAUGCGCAGAUAUCAGGAGGAACACCGGUGGCGAAGGCGGGUCUCUGGGCAGUAACUGACGCUGAGGAGCGAAAGCGUGGGUAGCGAACAGGAUUAGAUACCCUGGUAGUCCAA
This 775-nucleotide ribosomal RNA is filed under the name uncultured bacterium. RNAcentral describes it as "bacterial SSU rRNA". It matches the Rfam family "Bacterial small subunit ribosomal RNA", at positions 8 to 798 of the family's 1533-position model. The record is from RNAcentral.